CCCCUCCCUCCGACAGUCCUACUACUGUUUAAGAUUUGGGUGAAGGAUAAAUCUGAUCCCAGUUUCGAACUUUGUGAUAGUUUCAGUGGACUUGCUAUGUAGGUAAACCCAAGAUACCAGGCAUGGCGUGGAGUGUUAAUUGGGUUUGAGCUUGGUUUUGAAUCGACAUUUUUGAUUGGGAUAUGAAUAUGACCAAAUCUGACUAAAUACCGGUUUGUUAACACCUCUAAUCAUAAUAUCACGAAAAAAACAGGAGUAAGUGAUUUAUUUG
Molecule: long non-coding RNA, 271 nt
Filed under: Elaeis guineensis (African oil palm)
Lineage: Eukaryota; Viridiplantae; Streptophyta; Magnoliopsida; Arecales; Arecaceae
Description: long non-coding RNA (EGUI_LNC006826)
Source: RNAcentral